UGCCAGCCGCCGCGGUAAUACGUAGGUCCCAAGCGUUGUCCGGAUUUACUGGGUGUAAAGGGUGCGCAGGCGGACAAGUAAGUUAGAGGUGAAAUCCCACGGCUCAACCGUGGAACUGCCUCUGAUACUGCUUGACUCGAAUACGGGAGAGGUCGGUGGAAUUCCAGGUGUAGCGGUGAAAUGCGUAGAUAUCUGGAAGAACACCAGUGGCGAAGGCGGCCGACUGGCCCGUUAUUGACGCUCAUGCACGAAAGCGUGGGGAGCGAACAGGAUUAGAUA
RNAcentral lists this ribosomal RNA (279 nucleotides) under uncultured bacterium. Its description in RNAcentral is "partial 16S ribosomal RNA". It matches the Rfam family "Bacterial small subunit ribosomal RNA", at positions 506 to 784 of the family's 1533-position model. The record is from RNAcentral.